This 253-nucleotide ribosomal RNA is filed under the name uncultured bacterium. RNAcentral describes it as "partial 16S ribosomal RNA". It matches the Rfam family "Bacterial small subunit ribosomal RNA", at positions 524 to 776 of the family's 1533-position model. The record is from RNAcentral.
UACGUAGGCAGCAAGCGUUGUUCGGAGUUACUGGGCGUAAAGGGUGUGUAGGCGGUUUCUUAAGUUUGGUGUGAAAUCUCCCGGCUCAACUGGGAGGGUGCGCCGAAUACUGAGUGACUCGAGUGCGGGAGAGGAAAGUGGAAUUCCUGGUGUAGCGGUGAAAUGCGUAGAUAUCAGGAGGAACACCGGUGGUGUAGACGGCUCACUGGACCGGUACUGACGCUGAUGCGCGAAAGCGUGGGGAGCAAACGGG